UUUAUGGGAAAGUUGUUUAAAUUUGAAAAGCAAAUAACAUUUUGUUUAAAAAUGUUAAAUUUAACAUUAAGGUUAAUUACUUAAGCUGCCAAAGCACAAGCACAAAGAUGCAGCUUAGUACGUCGAAGAAGUUUAAACAAAGUAAGCCAAAAAUGUCAAAGAAAUAAGAUUUAAAGAAACAAGACUUGCGCCUAAAAAUAUGAAAAUAAUGCAACCAUGCCAAGAACCAAUACGCUGAAACUAAAUCAUAUUUGUAAUAAAAGAAAAUAUGUACAAAUAUUAUUCACACAUCAAGAUUUUUCUCUACAACUUUGAAAUGAUAUAUACAUACAUAUAUACUUUCCCACAUGUGCAUUAUUAUAUGCAAGCCACUGUAUGGGAAAUCAAUUGUAUAUAGAUAAAGGUACCAGGAUUCUCAAUGUCAAGUAUUUUUAAAAAAAUAUAUGCCUGUAAUUUGUUUUUUAAUUCUUAAAACUAGGUUUGGUGUUACUUUCACAAGAAAAUGAUAACAAUAUUAACAGAGAGUAGCGAUUUUUUCAAAACUUAUUCAUAAUUCACAAUUAAAGUAAAAUAAAAA
Drosophila novamexicana is the source of this 577-nucleotide long non-coding RNA. RefSeq lists it as uncharacterized. The record is from RefSeq and is a predicted model, not a curated record. The transcript is spliced from 2 exons. Lineage: Eukaryota; Metazoa; Arthropoda; Insecta; Diptera; Drosophilidae.